Oncorhynchus keta (chum salmon) is the source of this 8543-nucleotide long non-coding RNA. RefSeq lists it as uncharacterized. The transcript has 8 exons. The record is from RefSeq and is a predicted model, not a curated record. Lineage: Eukaryota; Metazoa; Chordata; Actinopteri; Salmoniformes; Salmonidae.
UCACAAUUAUCGGAGGUCCAGUUGUUGAGAGUGAAGUUGACGUCAAUGAAGCAGAUGCAGUUGUAGAAGUUGGACUGGAUGCAGUAGAAGGGUUAGUUGGGGUAGUUGAAGUAGGUGUAUUAGAAGGGGUAGUUGGGAUAGGUGUAGUAUAAGGGGUAGGUGUUGUAGUUAGGUUAGGUGUAGUAGAAGGGGUAGUAGAAGGGGUAGUUGGGAUAGGUGUAGUAGAAGGGGCAGGUGGGAUAGGUGUAGUAGAAUGUGUAGUUGAUGUAGUUAGGGUAGUUGGAGAAGGUGUGGUAGGUGUAGUUGAUGUAGUUAAUGUCGUUGGAGGUGUGGAAGGUGCGGUAGUUGAUGUAAUUAGGGUGGUUGUAGAAGGUGUGAUAGUUGGGGUAGUUGAUGGUGUGUUGGGUGUGGUUGUGAAAGGUAAUGUAGUUUGAGUAGUUAGAAAGGGUGUGGUAGAUGUGGGAGUUGGAGACUGUGUUGUGGUUAUUGCUUCUAUCGUUGGGCUAGUUGAUGGUCCUUGUGUAUUAAUGGUCAUUGUUUCAGCUGGAAUUGUUGACAUUUCUAACGUUGUUGUGUGAUCUUCAAGGGUCAUUCCCGCUGCAGUUGUGGAGUCAGUUGGCUCUGCAGUUGUACUUUCAGUUCCUUGGGUAGAUGAGACUCCAACGGUAGUGGGAGAUAUUUGCCCGUCCGUGACUGCUGAAGUUAGUUCAUUUGUAGUGGCAGGCUCACUGGUAAUCGUAGAAGGUUGUGAGGGACUUGUUUCCGUCGAGGUACUGGUUGAAGUUUCUGUUACACUUGAGGACAUAGCUGUAGUUGUUUCCAUUGUGUCUCCGGUUGAUUCUGGUGUCAUGGUCACUCCCGAUGUUGAAAACGUAGCUUCCACAGCUGCACUUGUUAAACCAGCUGAGGUCGCUGUCGAUUCUUCAGCAGAUGUGUUUGCUUCAGAAGUUGUUGUUGAUGCCUCACUUGAUGUUGAGGUACCAGCAGUGCUAGUUAGAGACUCACUUGUAACUCCAGAUGGCACUGAUGUGUGACCAGAAGUGAUUGUGGGAGUUGGGCUUGUCACAGUCUCUGGGCUUGCUGAUGGUUCUUGUGUAACAAUGGUAGUUGUUUCAGCUGGAAUUGUUGACAUUUCUAACGUUGUUAUGUGAUCUUCAAGAGUCGUUCCAGCUGCAGUUGUUGAGUCAGUUGGCUCUGCAGUUGUAGUUUCAGUUCCCUGGGUAGAUGAGAGUCCAACGGUAGUGGAAUAUAUUUGCCCGUCCGUGACUGCUGAAGUUAGUUGAUUUGUAGUGGCAGGCUCACUGGUGAUCGUAGAAGGUUGUGAGGGACUUGUUUCCGGCGAGGUACUGGUUGAAGUUUCUGUUACACUUGAGGACAUAGCUGUAGUUGUUUCCAUUGUGUCUCCGGUUGAUUCUGGUGUCAUGGUCACUCCCGAUGUUGAAAACGUAGCUUCCACAGCUGCACUUGUUAAACCAGCUGAGGUCGCUGUCGAUUCUUCAGCAGAUGUGUUUGCUUCAGAAGUUGUUGUUGAUGCCUCACUUGAUGUUGAGGUACCAGCAGUGCUAGUUAGAGACUCACUUGUAAUGUCAGAUGGCACUGAUGUGUGACCAGAAGUGAUUGUGGGAGAUGUGUUUGUCACAGUAUCUGGGCUAGCUGAUGGUUCUUGUGUAACAAUGGUAGUUGAUUCAGCUGGAAUUGUUGUAAUUUCUAAAGUUGUUGUGUGAUCUUCAAGGGUCGUUCCCGCUGCAGUUGUGGAGUCAGUUGGCUCUGCAGUUGUACUUUCAGUUCCCUGGGUAGAUGAGAGUCCAACGGUAGUGGAAGAUAUUUGCCCGUCCGUGACUGCUGAAGUUAGUUCAUUUGUAGCGGCAGGCUCUCUGGUGAUCGUAGAAGGUUGUGAGGGACUUGUUUCCGGCGAGGUACUGGUUGAAGUUUCUGUUACACUUGAGGACAUAGCUGUAGUUGUUUCCAUUGUGUCUUUGGUUGAUUCUGGUGUCAUGGUCACUCCCGAUGUUGAAAACGUAGCUUCCACAGUUGCACUUGUUAAACCAGCUGAGGUCGCUGUCGAUUCUUCAGCAGAUGUGUUUGCUUCAGAAGUUGUUGUUGAUGCCUCACUUGAUGUUGAGGUACCAGCAGUGCUAGUUAGAGACUCACUUGUAACUUCAGAUGGCACUGAUGUGUGACCAGAAGUGAUUGUGGGAGAUGGGCUUGUCACAGUCUCUGGGCUUGCUGAUGGUUCUUGUGUAACAAUGGUAGCUGUUUCAGCUGGAAUUGUUGUAAUUUCUAAAGUCGUUGUGUGAUCUUCAAGGGUCGUUCCCGCUGCAGUUGUGGAGUCAGUUGGCUCUGCAGUUGUACUUUCAGUUCCCUGGGUAGAUGAGAGUCCAAUGGUAGUGGAAGAUAUUUGCCCGUCCGUGACUGCUGAAGUUAGUUGAUUUGUAGUGGCAGGCUCACUGGUGAUCGUAGAAGGUUGUGAGGGACUUGUUUCCGGUGAGGUACUGGUUGAAGUUUCUGUUACACUUGAGGACAUAGCUGUAGUUGUUUCCAUUGUGUCUUUGGUUGAUUCUGGUGUCAUGGUCACUCCCGAUGUUGAAAACGUAGCUUCCACAGUUCCACUUGUUAAACCAGCUGAGGUCGCUGUCGAUUCUUCAGCAGAUGUGUUUGCUUCAGAAGUUGUUGUUGAUGCCUCACUUGAUGUUGAGGUACCAGCAGUGCUAGUUAGAGACUCACUUGUAACUUCAGAUGGCACUGAUGUGUGACCAGAAGUGAUUGUGGGAGAUGGGCUUGUCACAGUCUCUGGGCUUGCUGAUGGUUCUUGUGUAACAAUGGUAGUUGUUUCAGCUGGAAUUGUUGACAUUUCUAACGUUGUUAUGUGAUCUUCAAGGGUCGUUCCAGCUGCAGUUGUUGAGUCAGUUGGCUCUGCAGUUGUACUUUCAGUUCCCUGGGUAGAUGAGAGUCCAAUGGUAGUGGAAGAUAUUUGCCCGUCCGUGCCUGCUGAAGUUAGUUGAUUUGUAGUGGCAGGCUCACUGGUGAUCGUAGAAGGUUGUGAGGGACUUGUUUCCGGCGAGGUACUGGUUGAAGUUUCUGUCACACUUGAGGACAUAGCUGUAGUUGUUUCCAUUGUGUCUUUGGUUGAUUCUGGUGUCAUGGUCACUCCCGAUGUUGAAAACGUAGCUUCCACAGUUGCACUUGUUAAACCAGCUGAGGUCGCUGUCGAUUCUUCAGCAGAUGUGUUUGCUUCAGAAGUUGUUGUUGAUGCCUCACUUGAUGUUGAGGUACCAGCAGUGCUAGUUAGAGACUCACUUGUAACUUCAGAUGGCACUGAUGUGUGACCAGAAGUGAUUGUGGGAGAUGGGCUUGUCACAGUCUCUGGGCUUGCUGAUGGUUCUUGUGUAACAAUGGUAGUUGUUUCAGCUGGAAUUGUUGACAUUUCUAACGUUGUUAUGUGAUCUUCAAGGGUCGUUCCAGCUGCAGUGGUGGAGUCAGUUGGCUCUGCAUUUGUACUUUCAGUUCCCUGGGUAGAUGAGAGUCCAACGGUAGUGGAAGAUAUUUGCCCGUCCGUGCCUGCUGAAGUUAGUUGAUUUGUAGUGGCAGGCUCACUGGUGAUCGUAGAAGGUUGUGAGGGACUUGUUUCCGGUGAGGUACUGGUUGAAGUUUCUGUUACACUUGAGGACAUAGCUGUAGUUGUUUCCAUUGUGUCUUUGGUUGAUUCUGGUGUCAUGGUCACUCCCGAUGUUGAAAACGUAGCUUCCACAGUUGCACUUGUUAAACCAGCUGAGGUCGCUGUCGAUUCUUCAGCAGAUGUGUUUGCUUCAGAAGUUGUUGUUGAUGCCUCACUUGAUGUUGAGGUACCAGCAGUGCUAGUUAGAGACUCACUUGUAACUUCAGAUGGCACUGAUGUGUGACCAGAAGUGAUUGUGGGAGUUGGGUUUGUCACAGUAUCUGGGCUAGCUGAUGGUUCUUGUGUAACAAUGGUAGCUGUUUCAGCUGGAAUUGUUGUAAUUUCUAAAGUCGUUGUGUGAUCUUCAAGGGUCGUUCCCGCUGCAGUUGUGGAGUCAGUUGGCUCUGCAGUUGUACUUUCAGUUCCCUGGGUAGAUGAGAGUCCAAUGGUAGUGGAAGAUAUUUGCCCGUCCGUGACUGCUGAAGUUAGUUGAUUUGUAGUGGCAGGCUCACUGGUGAUCGUAGAAGGUUGUGAGGGACUUGUUUCCGGUGAGGUACUGGUUGAAGUUUCUGUUACACUUGAGGACAUAGCUGUAGUUGUUUCCAUUGUGUCUUUGGUUGAUUCUGGUGUCAUGGUCACUCCCGAUGUUGAAAACGUAGCUUCCACAGUUCCACUUGUUAAACCAGCUGAGGUCGCUGUCGAUUCUUCAGCAGAUGUGUUUGCUUCAGAAGUUGUUGUUGAUGCCUCACUUGAUGUUGAGGUACCAGCAGUGCUAGUUAGAGACUCACUUGUAACUUCAGAUGGCACUGAUGUGUGACCAGAAGUGAUUGUGGGAGAUGGGCUUGUCACAGUCUCUGGGCUUGCUGAUGGUUCUUGUGUAACAAUGGUAGUUGUUUCAGCUGGAAUUGUUGACAUUUCUAACGUUGUUAUGUGAUCUUCAAGGGUCGUUCCAGCUGCAGUUGUGGAGUCAGUUGGCUCUGCAUUUGUACUUUCAGUUCCCUGGGUAGAUGAGAGUCCAACGGUAGUGGAAGAUAUUUGCCCGUCCGUGCCUGCUGAAGUUAGUUGAUUUGUAGUGGCAGGCUCACUGGUGAUCGUAGAAGGUUGUGAGGGACUUGUUUCCGGCGAGGUACUGGUUGAAGUUUCUGUCACACUUGAGGACAUAGCUGUAGUUGUUUCCAUUGUGUCUUUGGUUGAUUCUGGUGUCAUGGUCACUCCCGAUGUUGAAAACGUAGCUUCCACAGUUGCACUUGUUAAACCAGCUGAGGUCGCUGUCGAUUCUUCAGCAGAUGUGUUUGCUUCAGAAGUUGUUGUUGAUGCCUCACUUGAUGUUGAGGUACCAGCAGUGCUAGUUAGAGACUCACUUGUAACUUCAGAUGGCACUGAUGUGUGACCAGAAGUGAUUGUGGGAGAUGGGCUUGUCACAGUAUCUGGGCUAGCUGAUGGUUCUUGUGUAACAAUGGUAGUUGUUUCAGCUGGAAUUGUUGACAUUUCUAACGUUGUUAUGUGAUCUUCAAGGGUCGUUCCAGCUGCAGUUGUGGAGUCAGUUGGCUCUGCAUUUGUACUUUCAGUUCCCUGGGUAGAUGAGAGUCCAAUGGUAGUGGAAGAUAUUUGCCCGUCCGUGCCUGCUGAAGUUAGUUGAUUUGUAGUGGCAGGCUCACUGGUGAUCGUAGAAGGUUGUGAGGGACUUGUUUCCGGCGAGGUACUGGUUGAAGUUUCUGUCACACUUGAGGACAUAGCUGUAGUUGUUUCCAUUGUGUCUUUGGUUGAUUCUGGUGUCAUGGUCACUCCCGAUGUUGAAAACGUAGCUUCCACAGUUGCACUUGUUAAACCAGCUGAGGUCGCUGUCGAUUCUUCAGCAGAUGUGUUUGCUUCAGAAGUUGUUGUUGAUGCCUCACUUGAUGUUGAGGUACCAGCAGUGCUAGUUAGAGACUCACUUGUAACUUCAGAUGGCACUGAUGUGUGACCAGAAGUGAUUGUGGGAGAUGGGCUUGUCACAGUCUCUGGGCUUGCUGAUGGUUCUUGUGUAACAAUGGUAGUUGUUUCAGCUGGAAUUGUUGACAUUUCUAACGUUGUUAUGUGAUCUUCAAGGGUCGUUCCAGCUGCAGUGGUGGAGUCAGUUGGCUCUGCAUUUGUACUUUCAGUUCCCUGGGUAGAUGAGAGUCCAACGGUAGUGGAAGAUAUUUGCCCGUCCGUGCCUGCUGAAGUUAGUUGAUUUGUAGUGGCAGGCUCACUGGUGAUCGUAGAAGGUUGUGAGGGACUUGUUUCCGGUGAGGUACUGGUUGAAGUUUCUGUUACACUUGAGGACAUAGCUGUAGUUGUUUCCAUUGUGUCUUUGGUUGAUUCUGGUGUCAUGGUCACUCCCGAUGUUGAAAACGUAGCUUCCACAGUUGCACUUGUUAAACCAGCUGAGGUCGCUGUCGAUUCUUCAGCAGAUGUGUUUGCUUCAGAAGUUGUUGUUGAUGCCUCACUUGAUGUUGAGGUACCAGCAGUGCUAGUUAGAGACUCACUUGUAACUUCAGAUGGCACUGAUGUGUGACCAGAAGUGAUUGUGGGAGUUGGGUUUGUCACAGUAUCUGGGCUAGCUGAUGGUUCUUGUGUAACAAUGGUAGCUGUUUCAGCUGGAAUUGUUGUAAUUUCUAAAGUCGUUGUGUGAUCUUCAAGGGUCGUUCCCGCUGCAGUUGUGGAGUCAGUUGGCUCUGCAGUUGUACUUUCAGUUCCCUGGGUAGAUGAGAGUCCAAUGGUAGUGGAAGAUAUUUGCCCGUCCGUGACUGCUGAAGUUAGUUGAUUUGUAGUGGCAGGCUCACUGGUGAUCGUAGAAGGUUGUGAGGGACUUGUUUCCGGUGAGGUACUGGUUGAAGUUUCUGUUACACUUGAGGACAUAGCUGUAGUUGUUUCCAUUGUGUCUUUGGUUGAUUCUGGUGUCAUGGUCACUCCCGAUGUUGAAAACGUAGCUUCCACAGUUGCACUUGUUAAACCAGCUGAGGUCGCUGUCGAUUCUUCAGCAGAUGUGUUUGCUUCAGAAGUUGUUGUUGAUGCCUCACUUGAUGUUGAGGUACCAGCAGUGCUAGUUAGAGACUCACUUGUAACUUCAGAUGGCACUGAUGUGUGACCAGAAGUGAUUGUGGGAGAUGGGCUUGUCACAGUCUCUGGGCUUGCUGAUGGUUCUUGUGUAACAAUGGUAGUUGUUUCAGCUGGAAUUGUUGACAUUUCUAACGUUGUUAUGUGAUCUUCAAGGGUCGUUCCAGCUGCAGUGGUGGAGUCAGUUGGCUCUGCAUUUGUACUUUCAGUUCCCUGGGUAGAUGAGAGUCCAACGGUAGUGGAAGAUAUUUGCCCGUCCGUGCCUGCUGAAGUUAGUUGAUUUGUAGUGGCAGGCUCACUGGUGAUCGUAGAAGGUUGUGAGGGACUUGUUUCCGGCGAGGUACUGGUUGAAGUUUCUGUCACACUUGAGGACAUAGCUGUAGUUGUUUCCAUUGUGUCUUUGGUUGAUUCUGGUGUCAUGGUCACUCCCGAUGUUGAAAACGUAGCUUCCACAGUUGCACUUGUUAAACCAGCUGAGGUCGCUGUCGAUUCUUCAGCAGAUGUGUUUGCUUCAGAAGUUGUUGUUGAUGCCUCACUUGAUGUUGAGGUACCAGCAGUGCUAGUUAGAGACUCACUUGUAACUUCAGAUGGCACUGAUGUGUGACCAGAAGUGAUUGUGGGAGAUGGGCUUGUCACAGUCUCUGGGCUUGCUGAUGGUUCUUGUGUAACAAUGGUAGUUGUUUCAGCUGGAAUUGUUGACAUUUCUAACGUUGUUAUGUGAUCUUCAAGGGUCGUUCCAGCUGCAGUUGUGGAGUCAGUUGGCUCUGCAUUUGUACUUUCAGUUCCCUGGGUAGAUGAGAGUCCAACGGUAGUGGAAGAUAUUUGCCCGUCCGUGCCUGCUGAAGUUAGUUGAUUUGUAGUGGCAGGCUCACUGGUGAUCGUAGAAGGUUGUGAGGGACUUGUUUCCGGCGAGGUACUGGUUGAAGUUUCUGUCACACUUGAGGACAUAGCUGUAGUUGUUUCCAUUGUGUCUUUGGUUGAUUCUGGUGUCAUGGUCACUCCCGAUGUUGAAAACGUAGCUUCCACAGUUGCACUUGUUAAACCAGCUGAGGUCGCUGUCGAUUCUUCAGCAGAUGUGUUUGCUUCAGAAGUUGUUGUUGAUGCCUCACUUGAUGUUGAGGUACCAGCAGUGCUAGUUAGAGACUCACUUGUAACUUCAGAUGGCACUGAUGUGUGACCAGAAGUGAUUGUGGGAGAUGGGCUUGUCACAGUCUCUGGGCUUGCUGAUGGUUCUUGUGUAACAAUGGUAGUUGUUUCAGCUGGAAUUGUUGACAUUUCUAACGUUGUUAUGUGAUCUUCAAGGGUCGUUCCAGCUGCAGUGGUGGAGUCAGUUGGCUCUGCAUUUGUACUUUCAGUUCCCUGGGUAGAUGAGAGUCCAACGGUAGUGGAAGAUAUUUGCCCGUCCGUGCCUGCUGAAGUUAGUUGAUUUGUAGUGGCAGGCUCACUGGUGAUCGUAGAAGGUUGUGAGGGACUUGUUUCCGGUGAGGUACUGGUUGAAGUUUCUGUUACACUUGAGGACAUAGCUGUAGUUGUUUCCAUUGUGUCUUUGGUUGAUUCUGGUGUCAUGGUCACUCCCGAUGUUGAAAACGUAGCUUCCACAGUUGCACUUGUUAAACCAGCUGAGGUCGCUGUCGAUUCUUCAGCAGAUGUGUUUGCUUCAGAAGUUGUUGUUGAUGCCUCACUUGAUGUUGAGGUACCAGCAGUGCUAGUUAGAGACUCACUUGUAACUUCAGAUGGCACUGAUGUGUGACCAGAAGUGAUUGUGGGAGAUGGGCUUGUCACAGUCUCUGGGCUUGCUGAUGGUUCUUGU